This 498-nucleotide ribosomal RNA is filed under the name uncultured bacterium. RNAcentral's name for it is "partial 16S ribosomal RNA". It matches the Rfam family "Bacterial small subunit ribosomal RNA", at positions 28 to 523 of the family's 1533-position model. The record is from RNAcentral.
GACGAACGCUGGCGGCGUGCCUAACACAUGCAAGUCGAACGGAACUCACUGGAACAAGAUUUCGGUCAAGUAAAAGUGACGUUUAGUGGCGGACGGGUGAGUAACGCGUGAGCAACCUGCCCUUCAGAGGGGGACAACAGUUGGAAACGACUGCUAAUACCGCAUGAAAUGUAUUUAAGGCAUCUUGAAUACAUCAAAGAUUUAUCGCUGAAGGAUGGGCUCGCGUCUGAUUAGCUAGUUGGUGAGGUAACGGCUCACCAAGGCGACGAUCAGUAACCGGACUGAGGGGUUGAACGGCCACAUUGGGACUGAGAUACGGCCCAGACUCCUACGGGAGGCAGCAGUGGGGAAUAUUGGGCAAUGGGGGCAACCCUGACCCAGCAACGCCGCGUGAAGGAAGAAGGCUUUCGGGUUGUAAACUUCUUUGACAAGGGACGAAACAAAUGACGGUACCUUGAAAACGAGCCACGGCUAACUACGUGCCAGCAGCCGCCGUAA